RNAcentral lists this ribosomal RNA (253 nucleotides) under uncultured bacterium. Its description in RNAcentral is "partial 16S ribosomal RNA". It matches the Rfam family "Bacterial small subunit ribosomal RNA", at positions 524 to 776 of the family's 1533-position model. The record is from RNAcentral.
UACGAAGGGGGCUAGCGUUGCUCGGAAUCACUGGGCGUAAAGCGCACGUAGGCGGACUCUUAAGUCAGGGGUGAAAUCCUGGAGCUCAACUCCAGAACUGCCUUUGAUACUGGGAGUCUUGAGUCCGGAAGAGGUAAGUGGAACUGCGAGUGUAGAGGUGAAAUUCGUAGAUAUUCGCAAGAACACCAGUGGCGAAGGCGGCUCACUGGCCCGAUACUGACGCUGAGGAGCGAAAGCAUGGGGAGCAAACGGG